AUGAUGCCCAGCUUGCUGGGUGGAUUAGUGGCGAACGGGUGAGUAAUACGUGAGUAACCUGCCCUUGACUCUGGGAUAAGCCUGGGAAACUGGGUCUAAUACUGGAUACUACUUCUUGCCGCAUGGUGGGUGGUGGAAAGGGUUUUACUGGUUUUGGAUGGGCUCACGGCCUAUCAGCUUGUUGGUGGGGUAAUGGCUCACCAAGGCGACGACGGGUAGCCGGCCUGAGAGGGUGACCGGCCACACUGGGACUGAGACACGGCCCAGACUCCUACGGGAGGCAGCAGUGGGGAAUAUUGCACAAUGGGCGGAAGCCUGAUGCAGCGACGCCGCGUGAGGGAUGACGGCCUUCGGGUUGUAAACCUCUUUCAGUAGGGAAGAAGCGAGAGUGACGGUACCUGCAGAAGAAGCGCCGGCUAACUACGUGCCAGCAGCCGCGGUAAUACGUAGGGCGCAAGCGUUGUCCGGAAUUAUUGGGCGUAAAGAGCUCGUAGGCGGUUUGUCGCGUCUGCUGUGAAAGCCCGGGGCUCAACCCCGGGUCUGCAGUGGGUACGGGCAGACUAGAGUGCAG
This 571-nucleotide ribosomal RNA is filed under the name Kocuria rosea. RNAcentral's name for it is "bacterial SSU rRNA". It matches the Rfam family "Bacterial small subunit ribosomal RNA", at positions 69 to 651 of the family's 1533-position model. Lineage: Bacteria; Bacillati; Actinomycetota; Actinomycetes; Micrococcales; Micrococcaceae. The record is from RNAcentral.